Molecule: RNA transcript, 1864 nt
Organism: Capsella rubella
Lineage: Eukaryota; Viridiplantae; Streptophyta; Magnoliopsida; Brassicales; Brassicaceae
Gene name: eukaryotic initiation factor 4A-1
Exons: 3
Source: RefSeq, a predicted model, not a curated record
CAGCAGGACAAAGAAAGUUUCAUUCAUUCAUUAGAUAUUGCUUCCAUCAAAAGUUACAAAACCCUAAUCCAGAUUUCGGUUCUAAGGAAAAGAGAAGAGAGAGAGAAAAAUCACACGAAUCGAGUAUUCAUCAUACACAUUUAUGGCAGGAUCUGCUCCAACAUAUACGGGUCAGUUUGACCAGAUGUUAAACGAAGAGUACGAAGUACUCGAAGAGGGAGAUGACAAUGAUGAUGAUGAGUUCUUCAUCUCGUAUGAUGAGGUCCAUGAGAGCUUUGAUGCCAUGGGCUUGCAAGAUAAUCUUCUUAAGGGUAUCUAUGCUUACGGUUUGGAAAAGCCUUGUCCUGUUCAGAAAAGAGGAAUUGUACCCUUUUCCAAGGGUCUUGAUGUUAUCCACCAGGCACAGUCCGGUACUGCUAAAACCGCCAGUUUCGGCUCUGGCAUCUUGCAGCAGCUUGAUUAUAACCUUGUCCAGUGCCAGGCUCUCGUUUUGGCUCCCACCAGAGAGCUUUCUCAGCAGAUUGAGAAGGUCAUGCGCGCCCUUGGUGAAUACCUUGGCGUCAAGGUUCACGCCAUUCUUGGUGGAGGUAGAGGCCGUGACGAUCAGAACAUUGUCAAGGCUGGUGUUCAUGUUUUGGUUGGAACUCCUGGUCGUGUGUUUGACAUGUUUCGAAGAGAAACUCUUCAUUCUGACUUCAUUACGAUGUUUGUCCUUGAUGAAGCUGAUGAAAUGCUCUCCCGUGGUUACAGGGAUCAGAUCUAUGACAUAUUCCAGCUUCUCCCACCUAAGAUGCAGGUUGGAGUAUUCUCAGAAACGAUGCCACCAGAAGCUCUUAAUAUCACAAGGAAAUUCAUGAGCAAACCAGUGAUGAGAAUCUUGGUGAAACGUGACAAGCUCACACUUGAAGGUAUCAAGCAAUUCUACGUGAACGUGGAGAAAGAAGAGUGGAAGCUCGAGACUCUCUGCGAACUUUUUGAGACUAUACCUGUCACUCAGAUUGUCACCUUCGUUAACAGUCGUCGUAAGGUUGAGUGGCUCACAGAAACAAUGAGAAGGCGUGACCACACAGUCUCAGCAACUCAUAAAGACAUGGACCAAAACACAAGAGACAUCAUAAUGAGAGAAUUCAGGUCUGCAGCUGGUGUUCUAGUCACAACCGAUAUCUUGGAUGAUGGUAUUGAUGUGAUGCAGCAAGUCUCUGUGGUCAUAAAUUAUGACCUCCCAGCUCAGCCGGAGGCUUACCUUCACCGUAUUGGAAGAAACACUGGAACGUUCGAGAGAAAGAUUGUUGCAAUUAACUUUGUCACUGUUGACGAUGAAAGAAUGCUGUUUGAUAUUCAGAAAUUCUACAAUGUGGAGGUUGAGGAGCUGCCAGAUAACUUCACUGAUUUGCUGUGAAGAAGAAGAAAGGCUACUUGUUUGCAUCUCUAGGCUCUUGCUAUGUUUUGCAUUUCCUUCUUUUUUUCCAGAUGCACUAUCAAGAGCUCAAGUUGGAGCACCACAAGCAUAUAAAAGUUGUCACUGCCUCUAGCUUUAACUUGAGGUUAUGUCCUGCAAUAAGGUGUUUAGGUGGACCUCUGUUUUCUGGCUGAGACAAAACAUCAGUGAACUCCACAUAGAAGAAUCAGGGACAAUACUCUUCUCCACCAUUCGUGAGAAAGUUAACCAAGCCUUCUGAAUAUCACCCUUCACACACAAUUCUUCGAGCAAGUGAUUGUAUUUUUCUCUAUCAGGAACAUAACCUAUCGCAGCCAUGUCCUGUACAAAUUUGCUACCAUCCACUAUCCAUCAUCUCCCUUGUGAAAAACUCUCUAGCAAUGUCAAUGUCUUCCUUGACCAAAACAUCCAAAAUCGAAUUGAAAA